UAAGCGGAGGAAAAGAAACCAACAGGGAUUGCCCUAGUAACGGCGAGUGAAGCGGCAACAGCUCAAAUUUGAAAUCUGGCUUCGGCCCGAGUUGUAAUUUGCAGAGGAAGCUUUAGGCGCGGCACCUCCUGAGUCCCCUGGAACGGGGCGCCACAGAGGGUGAGAGCCCCGUAUAGUUGGAUGCCUAGCCUGUGUAAAGCUCCUUCGACGAGUCGAGUAGUUUGGGAAUGCUGCUCAAAAUGGGAGGUAAAUUUCUUCUAAAGCUAAAUACCGGCCAGAGACCGAUAGCGCACAAGUAGAGUGAUCGAAAGAUGAAAAGCACUUUGAAAAGAGGGUUAAAUAGCACGUGAAAUUGUUGAAAGGGAAGCGCUUGUGACCAGACUUGCGCCGGGCUGAUCAUCCGGUGUUCUCACCGGUGCACUCUGCCCGGCUCAGGCCAGCAUCGGUUCUCGCGGGGGGAUAAAGGCCCUGGGAACGUAGCUCCUCCGGGAGUGUUAUAGCCCGGGGCGUAA
This 512-nucleotide ribosomal RNA is filed under the name Acrophialophora fusispora. Its description in RNAcentral is "partial large subunit ribosomal RNA". It matches the Rfam family "Eukaryotic large subunit ribosomal RNA", at positions 47 to 571 of the family's 3401-position model. Lineage: Eukaryota; Fungi; Ascomycota; Sordariomycetes; Sordariales; Chaetomiaceae. The record is from RNAcentral.